GAUGAAGAACGCAGCGAAAUGCGAUAGGUAAUGUGAAUUGCAGAAUUCAGUGAAUCAUCGAAUCUUUGAACGCACAUUGCGCCCCUUGGUAUUCCAUGGGGCAUGCCUGUUCGAGCGUCAUUUGUACCUUCAAGCUUUGCUUGGUGUUGGGUGUUUGUCCCGAGGGACUCGCCUUAAAGUAAUUGGCAGCCAGUGUUUGGUUUUGAAGCGCAGCACAAGUCGCGAUUCAAGGCUACACGCCCGCUUCCACAAGCCUUUUUUCACUUUUGACCUCGGAUCAGGUAGGGAUACCCGCUGAACUUAAGCAUAUCAAUAAGCGGAGGA
Molecule: unclassified non-coding RNA, 324 nt
Filed under: soil metagenome
Description: partial contains 5.8S ribosomal RNA, internal transcribed spacer 2, and large subunit ribosomal RNA
Rfam family: 5.8S ribosomal RNA (bases 1-120)
Source: RNAcentral